RNAcentral lists this ribosomal RNA (487 nucleotides) under uncultured bacterium. RNAcentral describes it as "partial 16S ribosomal RNA". It matches the Rfam family "Bacterial small subunit ribosomal RNA", at positions 355 to 848 of the family's 1533-position model. The record is from RNAcentral.
UGGGGAAUAUUGCACAAUGGGCGCAAGCCUGAUGCAGCAACGCCGCGUGAGGGAUGACGGCCUUCGGGUUGUAAACCUCUUUUAGCAGGGAAGAAGCGAAAGUGACGGUACCUGCAGAAAAAAGCACCGGCUAACUACGUGCCAGCAGCCGCGGUAAUACGUAGGGUGCAANCGUUGUCCGGAAUUNUUGGGCGUAAAGAGCUCGUAGGCGGUCUGUCGCGUCUGCUGUGAAAUCCCCGAGGCUCAACCUCGGGCCUGCAGUGGGUACGGGCAGACUAGAGUGCGGUAGGGGAGAAUGGAACUCCUGGUGUAGCGGUGGAAUGCGCAGAUAUCAGGAAGAACACCGAUGGCGAAGGCAGUUCUCUGGGCCCGUAACUGACGCUGAGGAGCGAAACGCGUGGGGAGCGAACAGGAUUAGAUACCCUGGUAGUCCACGCCGUAAACGUUGGGCGCUAGAUGUGGGGACCAUUCCACGGUUUCCGUGUCG